This 1085-nucleotide ribosomal RNA is filed under the name Microbacterium sp. EA_R_74. RNAcentral describes it as "bacterial SSU rRNA". It matches the Rfam family "Bacterial small subunit ribosomal RNA", at positions 38 to 1134 of the family's 1533-position model. Lineage: Bacteria; Bacillati; Actinomycetota; Actinomycetes; Micrococcales; Microbacteriaceae. The record is from RNAcentral.
GGCGGCGUGCUUAACACAUGCAAGUCGAACGGUGAAGCCAAGCUUGCUUGGUGGAUCAGUGGCGAACGGGUGAGUAACACGUGAGCAACCUGCCCUGGACUCUGGGAUAAGCGCUGGAAACGGCGUCUAAUACUGGAUAUGAGACGUGAUCGCAUGGUCGUGUUUGGAAAGAUUUUUCGGUCUGGGAUGGGCUCGCGGCCUAUCAGCUUGUUGGUGAGGUAAUGGCUCACCAAGGCGUCGACGGGUAGCCGGCCUGAGAGGGUGACCGGCCACACUGGGACUGAGACACGGCCCAGACUCCUACGGGAGGCAGCAGUGGGGAAUAUUGCACAAUGGGCGGAAGCCUGAUGCAGCAACGCCGCGUGAGGGAUGACGGCCUUCGGGUUGUAAACCUCUUUUAGCAGGGAAGAAGCGAAAGUGACGGUACCUGCAGAAAAAGCGCCGGCUAACUACGUGCCAGCAGCCGCGGUAAUACGUAGGGCGCAAGCGUUAUCCGGAAUUAUUGGGCGUAAAGAGCUCGUAGGCGGUUUGUCGCGUCUGCUGUGAAAUCCCGAGGCUCAACCUCGGGCCUGCAGUGGGUACGGGCAGACUAGAGUGCGGUAGGGGAGAUUGGAAUUCCUGGUGUAGCGGUGGAAUGCGCAGAUAUCAGGAGGAACACCGAUGGCGAAGGCAGAUCUCUGGGCCGUAACUGACGCUGAGGAGCGAAAGGGUGGGGAGCAAACAGGCUUAGAUACCCUGGUAGUCCACCCCGUAAACGUUGGGAACUAGUUGUGGGGACCAUUCCACGGUUUCCGUGACGCAGCUAACGCAUUAAGUUCCCCGCCUGGGGAGUACGGCCGCAAGGCUAAAACUCAAAGGAAUUGACGGGGACCCGCACAAGCGGCGGAGCAUGCGGAUUAAUUCGAUGCAACGCGAAGAACCUUACCAAGGCUUGACAUAUACGAGAACGGGCCAGAAAUGGUCAACUCUUUGGACACUCGUAAACAGGUGGUGCAUGGUUGUCGUCAGCUCGUGUCGUGAGAUGUUGGGUUAAGUCCCGCAACGAGCGCAACCCUCGUUCUAUGUUGCCAGCACGUAAUGGGUGG